UCCUACGGGGGGCAGCAGUGGGGAAUAUUGCACAAUGGGGGAAACCCUGAUGCAGCAACGCCGCGUGAGUGAGGAAGUAUUUCGGUAUGUAAAGCUCUAUCAGCAGGGAAUAGAAAAGAAGGUACCUGAAAAAGAAGCCCCGGCUAACUACGUGCCAGCAGCCGCGGUAAUACGUAGGUGGCAAGCGUUGUCCGGAAUUACUGGGUGUAAAGGGAGCGUAGGCGGGAAAGCAAGUUGAAUGUUUAAGGUACGGGCUCAACCUGUACAAGCGUUCAAAACUGUUUUUCUUGAGUGGAGUAGAGGUA
RNAcentral lists this ribosomal RNA (305 nucleotides) under uncultured bacterium. Its description in RNAcentral is "bacterial SSU rRNA". It matches the Rfam family "Bacterial small subunit ribosomal RNA", at positions 337 to 659 of the family's 1533-position model. The record is from RNAcentral.